This 405-nucleotide unclassified non-coding RNA is filed under the name soil metagenome. RNAcentral describes it as "partial contains 5.8S ribosomal RNA, internal transcribed spacer 2, and large subunit ribosomal RNA". The stretch from base 1 to 120 matches the Rfam family "5.8S ribosomal RNA", at positions 35 to 154 of the family's 154-position model. The record is from RNAcentral.
GAUGAAGAACGUAGCGAAAUGCGAUACGUAGUGUGAAUUGCAGAAUUCAGUGAAUCAUCGAAUCUUUGAACGCACAUUGCGCCUUCUGGUAUUCCGGUAGGCAUGCCUGUCUGAGCGUCAGCAAAACACCCUCAGCUGAAUUUUAUUAAUUUGUGCUGGUCUUGGGUAGCGGAUGCUGGUGGUGAAUAUUCCACCUGCACUCUCCCUAAACUUGCUGCACGACCGCAAAGCACCCCCUUCUAGCUAGGUCAAUGGAGUGGUGUUACAAUCUUCCAGAAAGCCUGCUGGACAACUGCUUCAUGGCGUUAAACCAGAGAGCCUCCCUCCCUCUGUGGAGGCUUGAAGUUUUGACCUCAGAUCAGACAAGGAUACCCGCUGAACUUAAGCAUAUCAAUAAGCGGAGGA